CUCUUCCCAUUCUCUCUCUCUCUCUCUCUCUCCCCAACGCGGCCUCCAACCCAUGUUGUCGAUGGAGGACGCGUGGGUGUAUAUCCUCUCGGCAUCCUCCUUCCUCUUUCUUCUCUUCCUGUUCAAAUUGCAGAGAAGCGGCAAGAGAAAUCUCCCGCCGGGCCCGCCUUCCCUCCCCAUCAUCGGCCAUCUCCUCCUCAUAAAAGAACCCGUCCACCGCACCCUCCAGUCCCUCUCCGACCGCUAUGGCCCUGUUCUUUCCCUCUCAUUCGGCUCUCGGCCUGUGGUCGUCGUAUCCUCCCCUUCCGCCGCCGAGGAGUGCUUCACCAGGAAUGACGUCAUCCUCGCCAACCGCCCCAGCAUGCUUGCGGGCAAGGUCAUGGCCUACGGCAACACUACUAUCGGCACCGCCCCCUACGGUCCCCACUGGCGCAACCUCCGCCGCCUCACAGCCCUCGAGAUCCUUUCGCCGCAUCGUCUCGCCGGCUCCCACGCCAUCCGGCAGGAGGAAGUCAGGCUCCUCGUGAGGAGCCUCUACAAGGCGACCUCCUCUGGCCCGGGUGGCGGUUUCACGAGGGUGGAGAUGAGGUCGAAGCUGCAGGAGCUGCCCUUCAACAUCAUCAUGAGGAUGAUCUCUGGGAAGCGCUACUCCGGGGCUGCUGUCGACGCAGGCGAUGCUGAGGUGGCCAGGCGGUUCAGGGAGGUAAUAGAGGAGCAAUUCGAGUUGAGCGGGACGGACCCGGGCGAUUACUUGCCAGUGCUGCGGAAGGUGGUGGACUUCAAGGGGAGGGAGCGGAGGAUGGUGGACGUGGCCAAGAGGUGCGAUGUGAUCUUGCAGGGGAUGAUAGACGAGCACAGGUCGAGAAGGAAGAGAAAUGAUGCCAACGGCGGCCGAGAGGACGAGAGCAAGACGAUGAUCGACACCAUGCUGUCGGAGGGCUACGCGGACGACAUCAUCAAAGGCCAGAUCAAUUCAAUGUCAAGUGCAGGCACGGACACAUCCGCGGUAACGAUAGAAUGGGCCAUGUCCCUCCUACUCAAUCAUCCGGAUGUCAUGAAAAAAGCUCAAGCAGAACUAGAUGACGUCGUUGGUCGAGACCGUCUAGUUGACGAAGUUGACACCCACAAGCUACCUUACCUUCAUAACAUCAUCAACGAGGCACUCCGAUUGUUUCCGCCAGGGCCACUCCUAGUGCCGCAUGAGUCUGCUGAGGAUUGCACCGUCAGCGGGUUCGACGUGCCCCGAGGAACCAUGAUCUUGGUUAAUGUGUGGGCAAUUCAGAGAGACCCAAAAGUGUGGGAUGAUCCCACAAGUUUUAAACCGGAGAGGUAUGAGGGAUUGGAAGGUGAUCAUGCGUACCGAUUGUUGCCGUUUGGGAUGGGGAGGAGGAGUUGUCCCGGUGCUGGCCUGGCCAAUCGAGUGGUGAGCUUGGCUCGGCGGUGCUUAUUCAAUGCUUGGAGUGGAAACGAGUCGUGAAGAGCCGAUGGACUUGUCGAGGGGACGGGACUCACAAUGCCCAAGAGAGAGCCAUUGGAGGCUAUGUGUAAAGCACGUGAAUGCAUGAUAGCCAAUGUUCUUGCGCAGCUUUGAGAAGGUCUUUGGUCAUGUAUCUCCAAUGUUUUUGAAUGAUCAAAUAGACUGAAAAUAGGAGUGACUAUGUAGCUUUAGGCCAGUGCAGUUUUAGGAGUGGUCGUGAGCAUCAGUAGCAUCCUGAGGAGGUCAAUGCAGCUUUAGGCCUCUCUCUUAGGAGAAAAAUGCUGGUUUAUAUAGAUACUAGCAACAUUGUUCAUGCCUCUCUCUCUAUUUCGGGCAUUUGUUGUUGCACCGGUAACUGAAAUAGUUGGCUUGGCAUAUUGAGUUA
This is an RNA transcript of Eucalyptus grandis, 1862 nucleotides long. It is a transcript of the gene named isoflavone 3'-hydroxylase, with no coding region annotated. The record is from RefSeq and is a predicted model, not a curated record. NCBI's taxonomy places the organism in Eukaryota, Viridiplantae, Streptophyta, Magnoliopsida, Myrtales, Myrtaceae. The transcript is spliced from 2 exons.